This 92-nucleotide non-coding RNA is filed under the name uncultured Ruminococcus sp. RNAcentral's name for it is "TPP riboswitch (THI element)". The stretch from base 3 to 83 matches the Rfam family "TPP riboswitch aptamer (THI element)", at positions 10 to 89 of the family's 105-position model. Rfam says of the family: Vitamin B(1) in its active form thiamin pyrophosphate (TPP) is an essential coenzyme that is synthesised by coupling of pyrimidine and thiazole moieties in bacteria. The previously detected thiamin-regulatory element, thi box was extended, resulting in a new, highly conserved RNA secondary structure, the THI element, which is widely distributed in eubacteria and also occurs in some archaea. Analysis of operon structures identified a large number of new candidate thiamin-regulated genes, mostly transporters, in various prokaryotic organisms. The record is from RNAcentral. Lineage: Bacteria; Bacillati; Bacillota; Clostridia; Eubacteriales; Oscillospiraceae.
CACAGGGGAGCUGUAAAAACAGCUGAGAAAAAGGUGUGUACCUUUGACCCUUAACCUGAUUCGGGUAAUGCCGACGUAGGGAGCUUGUAGUA